UCGGGAAGUAGCUCAGCUUGGUAGAGCGCCUGGUUUGGGACCAGGAGGUCGCAGGUUCGAAUCCUGUCUUCCCGAU
Molecule: transfer RNA, 76 nt
Filed under: Philodulcilactobacillus myokonensis
Lineage: Bacteria; Bacillati; Bacillota; Bacilli; Lactobacillales; Lactobacillaceae
Description: tRNA-Pro
Rfam family: tRNA
About the family: Transfer RNA (tRNA) molecules are approximately 80 nucleotides in length.
Source: RNAcentral